Molecule: ribosomal RNA, 497 nt
Filed under: uncultured bacterium
Lineage: Bacteria
Description: partial 16S ribosomal RNA
Rfam family: Bacterial small subunit ribosomal RNA
Source: RNAcentral
GAUGAACGCUGGCGGCGUGCCUAAUACAUGCAAGUCGAGCGAACAGACGAGGAGCUUGCUCCUCUGACGUUAGCGGCGGACGGGUGAGUAACACGUGGAUAACCUACCUAUAAGACUGGGAUAACUUCGGGAAACCGGAGCUAAUACCGGAUAAUAUAUUGAACCGCAUGGUUCAAUAGUGAAAGACGGUUUUGCUGUCACUUAUAGAUGGAUCCGCGCCGCAUUAGCUAGUUGGUAAGGUAACGGCUUACCAAGGCAACGAUGCGUAGCCGACCUGAGAGGGUGAUCGGCCACACUGGAACUGAGACACGGUCCAGACUCCUACGGGAGGCAGCAGUCGGGAAUCUUCCGCAAUGGGCGAAAGCCUGACGGAGCAACGCCGCGUGAGUGAUGAAGGUCUUCGGAUCGUAAAACUCUGUUAUUAGGGAAGAACAAAUGUGUAAGUAACUAUGCACGUCUUGACGGUACCUAAUCAGAAAGCAACGGCUAACUACGUG